RNAcentral lists this ribosomal RNA (471 nucleotides) under uncultured bacterium. RNAcentral's name for it is "bacterial SSU rRNA". It matches the Rfam family "Bacterial small subunit ribosomal RNA", at positions 355 to 825 of the family's 1533-position model. The record is from RNAcentral.
UGGGGAAUAUUGGACAAUGGGCGAAAGCCUGAUCCAGCCAUGCCGCGUGUGUGAAGAAGGUCUUCGGAUUGUAAAGCACUUUAAGUUGGGAGGAAGGGCAGUUACCUAAUACGUGAUUGUUUUGACGUUACCGACAGAAUAAGCACCGGCUAACUCUGUGCCAGCAGCCGCGGUAAUACAGAGGGUGCAAGCGUUAAUCGGAAUUACUGGGCGUAAAGCGCGCGUAGGUGGUUAGUUAAGUUGGAUGUGAAAUCCCCGGGCUCAACCUGGGAACUGCAUUCAAAACUGACUGACUAGAGUAUGGUAGAGGGUGGUGGAAUUUCCUGUGUAGCGGUGAAAUGCGUAGAUAUAGGAAGGAACACCAGUGGCGAAGGCGACCACCUGGACUGAUACUGACACUGAGGUGCGAAAGCGUGGGGAGCAAACAGGAUUAGAUACCCGGGUAUCCCUGAGCGGGCUGGCAAGGCGCAU